RNAcentral lists this ribosomal RNA (496 nucleotides) under uncultured bacterium. RNAcentral describes it as "partial 16S ribosomal RNA". It matches the Rfam family "Bacterial small subunit ribosomal RNA", at positions 30 to 523 of the family's 1533-position model. The record is from RNAcentral.
AUUGAACGCUGGCGGAAUGCUUUACACAUGCAAGUCGAACGGUAGAGGGGGCAACCCCUCGAGAGUGGCGAACGGGGGAGUAAUAUAUCGGAACGUGCCCAGUCGUGGGGGAUAACGUAGCGAAAGUUACGCUAAUACCGCAUACGAUCUAAGGAUGAAAGCGGGGGAUCGCAAGACCGCGCGCGAUUGGAGCGGCCGAUAUCAGAGUAGGUAGUUGGUGGGGUAAAGGCUCACCAAGCCAACGAUCUGUAGCUGGUCUGAGAGGACGACCAGCCACACUGGAACUGAGACACGGUCCAGACUCCUACGGGAGGCAGCAGUGGGGAAUUUUGGACAAUGGACGCAAGUCUGAUCCAGCCAUUCCGCGUGCAGGAUGAAGGCCCUCGGGUUGUAAACUGCUUUUGUACGGAACGAAAAGGUCUCUCUUAAUACGGGGGGCUCAUGACGGUACCGUAAGAAUAAGCACCGGCUAACUACGUGCCAGCCGCCGCCGUAA